GAGAACGACCAUACCAACAUGUCAGCACUACUUCCAAUCUGCUCAGCGAAGUUAAGCAUGGUCGAGCAUGGUUAGUACUACGUUGGGGGACUACAUUGGAAUCAAUUCCAGGUGAUGUUCUUU
RNAcentral lists this ribosomal RNA (123 nucleotides) under Fragilariopsis cylindrus CCMP1102. Lineage: Eukaryota; Bacillariophyta; Bacillariophyceae; Bacillariales; Bacillariaceae. The record is from RNAcentral.